Molecule: ribosomal RNA, 576 nt
Filed under: uncultured archaeon
Lineage: Archaea
Description: bacterial SSU rRNA
Rfam family: Archaeal small subunit ribosomal RNA
Source: RNAcentral
GAGUUCAGACUCGUAGCAGAUAGCUCAGUAACACGUGGCCAAACUGCCCUAUAGACGGCGAUAACCUCGGGAAACUGAGGCUAAUAGCCGAUACCGUUCACUACCUGGAGUGGUGUGAACGCGAAACGUUCAGGCGCUAUAGGAUGUGGCUGCGGCCGAUUAGGUAGACGGUGGGGUAACGGCCCACCGUGCCUAUAAUCGGUACGGGUUGUGAGAGCAAGAGCCCGGAGACGGUAUCUGAGACAAGAUACCGGGCCCUACGGGGCGCAGCAGGCGCGAAACCUUUACACUGCACGCGAGUGCGAUAAGGGGACUCCGAGUGCGAGGGCAUAUAGUCCUCGCUUUUCACCACCGUAAGGUGGUGGUGGAAUAAGUGCUGGGCAAGACCGGUGCCAGCCGCCGCGGUAAUACCGGCAGCACGAGUGAUGACCGCUAUUAUUGGGCCUAAAGCGUCCGUAGCUGGCCAUACAAGUCUAUCGGGAAAUCUGCGCGCUUAACGCGCAGGCGUCCGGUGGAAACUGUGUGGCUUGGGACCGGAAGACCAGAGGGGUACGUCCGGGGUAGGAGUGAAAUCCC